This 468-nucleotide ribosomal RNA is filed under the name uncultured bacterium. RNAcentral describes it as "partial 16S ribosomal RNA". It matches the Rfam family "Bacterial small subunit ribosomal RNA", at positions 28 to 507 of the family's 1533-position model. The record is from RNAcentral.
GACGAACGCUGGCGGCGUGCUUAACACAUGCAAGUCGAACGGAAAGGCCCUGCUUUUGUGGGGUGCUCGAGUGGCGAACGGGUGCGUAACACGUGAGUAACCUGCCCUUGACUUUGGGAUAACUUCAGGAAACUGGGGCUAAUAUCGGAUAGGAGCUCCUGCUGCAUGGUGGGCGUUGGAACGUUUCGGCGGGUGGGGUUGGAUGCGCGGCUUAUCAGCUUGUUGGUGGGGUAGUGGCUUGCCCAGGCAUUGACGGGUAGCCGGCCUGGGAGGGUGACCGGCCACAUUGGGCCUGAGAGAGGGCCCAGACGCCUACGGGGGACAGCAGUGGGGAAUAUUGCACAAUGGGCGGAAGCCUGAUGCAGCAACGCCGCGUGCGGGAUGACGGCCUUCGGGUUGUAAACCGCUUUCGCCUGUGACGAAGCGUGAGUGACGGUAAUGGAUAAAUAAGCACCGGCUAACUACGUG